Molecule: ribosomal RNA, 433 nt
Filed under: uncultured bacterium
Lineage: Bacteria
Description: bacterial SSU rRNA
Rfam family: Bacterial small subunit ribosomal RNA
Source: RNAcentral
ACAUAAGUUUCGUGGUAGAAGGUGGCUUGUAUUUAUACUGGCUAUCACUUGAGGAUGAGCCUGUGGCCUAUCAGCUUGUUGGUGAGGUAAAAGCUCACCAAGGCUAUGACGGGUAGCUGGUCUGAGAGGACGACCAGCCACACUGGGACUGAGACACGGCCCAGACUCCUACGGGAGGCAGCAGUGGGGAAUAUUGGGCAAUGGGCGCAAGCCUGACCCAGCGACGCCGCGUGGGUGAUGAAGGCCUUCGGGUUGUAAAGCCCUGUCAUGUGGGAAGAACUGUCUCGUGGCUAAUAUCCACGGGAAUUGACGGUACCACAGGAGGAAGCACCGGCUAACUCCGUGCCAGCAGCCGCGGUAAUACCGGAGGGUGCUAGCGUUGUUUCGGAAUUAUUUGGGCGUAAAAGGGCGCGUAGGCGGGUAUGUAAAGUCA